Molecule: transfer RNA, 84 nt
Filed under: Candidatus Woesearchaeota archaeon
Lineage: Archaea; Nanobdellati; Candidatus Woesearchaeota
Description: tRNA-Leu
Rfam family: tRNA
About the family: Transfer RNA (tRNA) molecules are approximately 80 nucleotides in length.
Source: RNAcentral
GCGGGGGUGCCGGAGUGGCCAAACGGAACAGGCUCAGAACCUGUUGGCUUAGUGCCUGCGCGUGUUCGAACCACGUCCCCCGCA